Molecule: non-coding RNA, 109 nt
Organism: Acanthosepion pharaonis
Lineage: Eukaryota; Metazoa; Mollusca; Cephalopoda; Sepiida; Sepiidae
Source: the annotation of a GenBank genome assembly
UUACGGCCAUAACACGCUGAAACACCAGUUCCUGUACAAUCACCAAAGUUAAGCAAGGUCGAGCCUCGUCAGUACCUAGAUGGGUGACCGCUUAGAAAAAGCAGGUACU